This 420-nucleotide ribosomal RNA is filed under the name uncultured bacterium. RNAcentral's name for it is "bacterial SSU rRNA". It matches the Rfam family "Archaeal small subunit ribosomal RNA", at positions 456 to 876 of the family's 1478-position model. The record is from RNAcentral.
GGCCAGCAGCCGCGGUAAUACCAGCACCCCGAGUGGUCGGGACGUUUAUUGGGCCUAAAGCAUCCGUAGCCGGUUCUACAAGUCUUCCGUUAAAUCCACCUGCUUAACAGAUGGGCUGCGGAAGAUACUAUAGAGCUAGGAGGCGGGAGAGGCAAGCGGUACUCGAUGGGUAGGGGUAAAAUCCGUUGAUCCAUUGAAGACCACCAGUGGCGAAGGCGGCUUGCCAGAACGCGCUCGACGGUGAGGGAUGAAAGCUGGGGGAGCAAACCGGAUUAGAUACCCGGGUAGUCCCAGCUGUAAACGAUGCAGACUCGGUGAUGAGUUGGCUUUUUGCUAACUCAGUGCCGCAGGGAAGCCGUUAAGUUUGCCGCCUGGGGAGUACGGUCGCAAGACUGAAACUUAAAGGAAUUGGCGGGGGAU